UACGGAGGGAGCUAGCGUUGUUCGGAAUUACUGGGCGUAAAGCGCGCGUAGGCGGUUAAUUAAGUCAGGGGUGAAAUCCCGGAGCUCAACUCCGGAACUGCCCUUGAAACUGGUAAACUAGAAUCCUGGAGAGGCGAGUGGAAUUCCGAGUGUAGAGGUGAAAUUCGUAGAUAUUCGGAAGAACACCAGUGGCGAAGGCGACUCACUGGACAGUUAUUGACGCUGAGGUGCGAAAGCGUGGGGAGCAAACAGG
This 253-nucleotide ribosomal RNA is filed under the name uncultured bacterium. Its description in RNAcentral is "partial 16S ribosomal RNA". It matches the Rfam family "Bacterial small subunit ribosomal RNA", at positions 524 to 776 of the family's 1533-position model. The record is from RNAcentral.